RNAcentral lists this unclassified non-coding RNA (328 nucleotides) under Hevea brasiliensis (rubber tree). The record is from RNAcentral. Lineage: Eukaryota; Viridiplantae; Streptophyta; Magnoliopsida; Malpighiales; Euphorbiaceae.
GUUCUGAUUUUACGUCCGACUCUGAGGAUUUUAGUCUGAUAGUUGAUACUAAUAGGUUGCGAGGUGAUGAACAAGGGGUUUCCAGCUCAGUAGAUAACAGUAUGCCAAACUCGGUCUCCCUAAAGGAAAAAGCUAAAGUUGGCAAAGCUAAAGGGAAUUCGCUGAAGGAUGAGUUGUCUUAUCUUAUGCAGUCUGAUAGCCCUCUUGUCUCUGCCAAAAGGCACAUAGAGAGGUUGGACUACAAAAAGCUGCACGAUGAAACAUAUGGAAAUGGGUCUUCUGAUUCUAGUGAUGAAGAUUAUGAUGAUGGUCCUUUACCCAAGGUGAG